UACUAGAUGUGUAGGUAGAAUGCACCUAUGGAAAAGUAUACAAAGCCAGAGAGAAAGCCACCGGCAAAAUUGUUGCUCUCAAGAAAACUAAACUUCAUGAAGACGAAGAAGGCGUUCCGCCUGUUACGCUCAGAGAGAUCUCGAUCCUGCGGAUGCUCUUACGUGAUCCUCAUGUGGUUAAAAGAGGUCCAUUUCACGUUUUUGUUUGAGGUGAAGAGGUCAGAUUUAUGCUUCAGUUUGACUAUAUACUGGUGCUGAAACUUUGAUCCAUUUGGCGUGGGGGCUCAGUUGCUACCUUUAUGUUCGGUAUUGCAUCUACUACUUUUCAAGGUCAAACAUGGACAGGGCUUGGAUUUGCAAUAAACGGAUUGAUGAACUAAUGUGUCGAAACUAUGAUUUUGUUUUUUCAAUCGAUUUUAUCAGAAUCCUUUUGGAGUCAUGGAGAAGAUGUCCCAUUGAAAGAUGCAUUACUGAUUUGUUGAGCUUGAACAUGCUAUAAACCCGAACUUGCUAUUCUAUCCUAAAAGAUGCCCCCAUCCAAGGUUUCGUGUUUGUGUUUGGCUGAAUUCAAGAAGUUGGAGAGACUAGACCUCACCUUCAAUAAUCUGUUGUCACACGAGAUUAAUGGAUGUUCAAGCAAAGAAGAAGGCGCUGUAUCGUGCUAAAUUGAAAGCACAAAACCAGGACAAACGUAUUGAUUCUCCUCUUGUAAGGUUAACUAUUUGAGGUGUGGCAGUGAAUCGACCUUUUCAUAGUUGUUGAUGUUGGAGGUUAAUGGUCAAACCGCAACAUCUUAUUGGCUGCACUUAUCGGCCUGUUGGAAUUUAAUGGUCAACGGAUGUCAAACAAGUCCUGCAACCAAAAGAUUAGAUCCGAUAGUUAGAAUAAUGGCGGCGGUUAGCGUUUCUUCAAGCUAUUGAUAGCGGCUGUUGUUGUUGCAAUUCGGAGAAGAAUCAACCACUAAUCCAGGUUAAAAAUAACUUUACAAUUUGCUAUAAUA
Molecule: long non-coding RNA, 1000 nt
Organism: Helianthus annuus (common sunflower)
Lineage: Eukaryota; Viridiplantae; Streptophyta; Magnoliopsida; Asterales; Asteraceae
Exons: 10
Source: RefSeq, a predicted model, not a curated record